Molecule: ribosomal RNA, 526 nt
Filed under: uncultured bacterium
Lineage: Bacteria
Description: partial 16S ribosomal RNA
Rfam family: Bacterial small subunit ribosomal RNA
Source: RNAcentral
UGGGGAAUUUUGGACAAUGGGCGAAAGCCUGAUCCAGCAAUGCCGCGUGUGUGAAGAAGGCCUUCGGGUUGUAAAGCACUUUUGUCCGGAAAGAAAUCCUUGGCUCUAAUACAGUCGGGGGAUGACGGUACCGGAAGAAUAAGCACCGGCUAACUACGUGCCAGCAGCCGCGGUAAUACGUAGGGUGCAAGCGUUAAUCGGAAUUACUGGGCGUAAAGCGUGCGCAGGCGGUUUGCUAAGACCGAUGUGAAAUCCCCGGGCUCAACCUGGGAACUGCAUUGGUGACUGGCAGGCUAGAGUAUGGCAGAGGGGGGUAGAAUUCCACGUGUAGCAGUGAAAUGCGUAGAGAUGUGGAGGAAUACCGAUGGCGAAGGCAGCCCCCUGGGCCAAUACUGACGCUCAUGCACGAAAGCGUGGGGAGCAAACAGGAUUAGAUACCCUGGUAGUCCACGCCCUAAACGAUGUCAACUAGUUGCUGGGGAUUCAUUUCCUUAGUAACGUAGCUAACGCGUGAAGUUGACCGCCU